CCCUGCAUUCGUAAGUGAUCAUGGGCUACCCCCAUCCUGGUCAUUGGUAAUGCAGGCAGAGGAAAUGUGGAAAGGGUCACCCCGUGUUCUGGAGGGUCUGCAUCCCCCUUUCCAGUUCCGGAGCUUUCCAACA
RNAcentral lists this small nucleolar RNA (133 nucleotides) under Dasypus novemcinctus (nine-banded armadillo). RNAcentral's name for it is "Small nucleolar RNA SNORA71 (ENSDNOG00000029320.2)". It matches the Rfam family "Small nucleolar RNA SNORA71". Rfam says of the family: The members of this family belong to the H/ACA class of snoRNAs which bind a number of proteins (including dyskerin, Gar1p and Nop10p) to form snoRNP complexes. This class of snoRNAs are thought to guide the sites of modification of uridines to pseudouridines by forming direct base pairing interactions with substrate RNAs. This family includes U71 (SNORA71), ACA39 (SNORA39) and ACA60 (SNORA60). The record is from RNAcentral. Lineage: Eukaryota; Metazoa; Chordata; Mammalia; Cingulata; Dasypodidae.